AUGCAAGUCGAGCGGACGGAUGGGAGCUUGCUCCCUGAAGUCAGCGGCGGACGGGUGAGUAACACGUGGGCAACCUGCCUGUAAGACUGGGAUAACUCCGGGAAACCGGGGCUAAUACCGGAUAACUCUUUUCCUCACAUGAGGAAAAGCUGAAAGAUGGUUUCGGCUAUCACUUACAGAUGGGCCCGCGGCGCAUUAGCUAGUUGGUGAGGUAACGGCUCACCAAGGCCACGAUGCGUAGCCGACCUGAGAGGGUGAUCGGCCACACUGGGACUGAGACACGGCCCAGACUCCUACGGGAGGCAGCAGUAGGGAAUCUUCCGCAAUGGACGAAAGUCUGACGGAGCAACGCCGCGUGAGUGAUGAAGGUUUUCGGAUCGUAAAACUCUGUUGUCAGGGAAGAACAAGUACCGGAGUAACUGCCGGUACCUUGACGGUACCUGACCAGAAAGCCACGGCUAACUACGUGCCAGCAGCCGCGGUAAUACGUAGGUGGCAAGCGUUGUCCGGAAUUAUUGGGCGUAAAGCGCGCGCAGGCGGUUCCUUAAGUCUGAUGUGAAAGCCCCCGGCUCAACCGGGGAGGGUCAUUGGAAACUGGGGAACUUGAGUGCAGAAGAGAAGAGUGGAAUUCCACGUGUAGCGGUGAAAUGCGUAGAGAUGUGGAGGAACACCAGUGGCGAAGGCGACUCUUUGGUCUGUAACUGACGCUGAGGCGCGA
This 718-nucleotide ribosomal RNA is filed under the name Cytobacillus firmus. RNAcentral's name for it is "bacterial SSU rRNA". It matches the Rfam family "Bacterial small subunit ribosomal RNA", at positions 55 to 756 of the family's 1533-position model. Lineage: Bacteria; Bacillati; Bacillota; Bacilli; Caryophanales; Bacillaceae. The record is from RNAcentral.